Molecule: non-coding RNA, 23 nt
Filed under: Arabidopsis thaliana (thale cress)
Lineage: Eukaryota; Viridiplantae; Streptophyta; Magnoliopsida; Brassicales; Brassicaceae
Source: RNAcentral
UAUUUUCCCACCAACACCGUAAA